Culex pipiens pallens (northern house mosquito) is the source of this 889-nucleotide long non-coding RNA. RefSeq lists it as uncharacterized. Lineage: Eukaryota; Metazoa; Arthropoda; Insecta; Diptera; Culicidae. The record is from RefSeq and is a predicted model, not a curated record. The transcript has 3 exons.
UCUCGACGUUCUAGCAGGAUUCUAGCAGAAUUCUUAGAGAGCUGGAUAUUCUUAGAGCAUUCUAGCAGAAAUGUUCCACCGUUCUAGCAGGAUUCUGACAGAACCAGCUCUGCUAGAAUAUUUCGUGACUGGGUCUAGACUUAGCCAAAUUUUGUCGAUUUAUGAUUAACCCCAACGUUUACUAAGUUUCAGUUUGAGUGUAAAGAAAAAAGUUUUGAUGGGCGAAGGAGGCGGAUUGCGGCAAUAAAAAUUCCGAUAUUAGGCGACCCCCUGCGAGACUUUUUGCCGGGCACUUUUUGGAACCAGUUCACGUUCAAGAACCCGAAAAAGCCAAAAACGGAUGGUGCAAAGGUGGCGAGCAGGUGCUGAGGCGGAAGAUUAUCGCGUGGCGCAGUAGAAUGGCGACUACGUGCCGAGCGGAUCGUGCAGGUUGCCGGUGCACUCCCUCACCAAGGAUCAUUGCACCGAGGACAAGCGGUUGAGCUUUAGAUUCCUUAAGACAAAAACGCAAAUGCAUGCGUGAGGCCAAGGCCAAGGAUCGGGUGGUCGCCAAAAAAGCUGCCGGCGGUGAUCAGAAUAACGUUUCCGACCUGGAAUCCCAGUACGAGGACGAGUUCGAUUCGUAUCUGGAACGGCUGGACGUGCCUGGACGAAGACCAACCAGCGUGCACCAAAAAGAGGGGAAAUUUGCCGAGAGGGGAAUUCGUCACGUAACGUCACGUAAAUUUUGGUUUGACACCACGUAUAGAAACCUUAGGACAAAGUUCUUUGUCGAAAAUCUGCCAAAGCCGAGAAGACAGCCGCGGAAGAGGUAAAUCUGGCGAUAAAUUAGUUAUAAUUUAUAGCAUACUUUGUUGAAUAAAAUGUAAAUUAAAACAAGAUUUAAAUA